GACGAACGCUGGCGGCGUGCUUAACACAUGCAAGUCGAACGAAGAGCGAUGGAAGCUUGCUUCUAUCAAUCUUAGUGGCGAACGGGUGAGUAACGCGUAAUCAACCUGCCCUUCAGAGGGGGAUAACAGUUGGAAACGACUGCUAAUACCGCAUACGAUCUAAUCUCGGCAUCGAGGAUAGAUGAAAGGUGGCCUCUACAUGUAAGCUAUCACUGAAGGAGGGGAUUGCGUCUGAUUAGCUAGUUGGAGGGGUAACGGCCCACCAAGGCGAUGAUCAGUAGCCGGUCUGAGAGGAUGAACGGCCACAUUGGGACUGAGACACGGCCCAGACUCCUACGGGAGGCAGCAGUGGGGAAUCUUCCGCAAUGGACGAAAGUCUGACGGAGCAACGCCGCGUGAGUGAUGACGGCCUUCGGGUUGUAAAGCUCUGUUAAUCGGGACGAAAGGCCUUCUUGCGAAUAGUGAGAAGGAUUGACG
This 477-nucleotide ribosomal RNA is filed under the name Veillonella parvula. RNAcentral describes it as "bacterial SSU rRNA". It matches the Rfam family "Bacterial small subunit ribosomal RNA", at positions 28 to 474 of the family's 1533-position model. The record is from RNAcentral. Lineage: Bacteria; Bacillati; Bacillota; Negativicutes; Veillonellales; Veillonellaceae.